Molecule: ribosomal RNA, 441 nt
Filed under: uncultured bacterium
Lineage: Bacteria
Description: bacterial SSU rRNA
Rfam family: Bacterial small subunit ribosomal RNA
Source: RNAcentral
CCUGUGAUGACGAGUGGCGGAUCGGUGCGUAACGCGUAUGCAACCUGCCCCUUAUUGGAGGAUAACGUUGUGAAAACGGCGAUAAUAUUCCAUGUGUACCCUGGGGGGCAUCCCUUGGGGUAUAAAGAUUCAUUGAUAAGGGAUGGGCAUGCGUAUCAUUAGGUAGUUGGCGGGGUAACGGCCCACCAAGCCGACGAUGAUUAGGGGUCCUGAGAGGGCAACCCCCCACACUGGAACUGAGACACGGUCCAGACUCCUACGGGAGGCAGCAGUAGGGAAUAUUGGGCAAUGGAGGCAACUCUGACCCAGCCAUGCCGCGUGGAAAAGGAAGGCGGUCCUAUGGAUUGUAAACUUCUUUUGUUGCAGAGUAAAGGCGGGGACGCGUCCCCGUGUGAGAGUAUGCGACGAAUAAGCAUCGGCUAACUCCGUGCCAGCCGCGGC